Molecule: long non-coding RNA, 292 nt
Organism: Poeciliopsis prolifica (blackstripe livebearer)
Lineage: Eukaryota; Metazoa; Chordata; Actinopteri; Cyprinodontiformes; Poeciliidae
Exons: 3
Source: RefSeq, a predicted model, not a curated record
UUUUGUGCAUCGAUGCGGGAGAACGGCGCGUAUCGGUAACCAUGGCAACGCCCUCGUCUUCCUGCUGCCAAUGGAGGAACCCUAUGUCAACUUCUUGUCCAUCAACCAGAAGUGCCCGCUGCAGAAGAUGUCUCCUAUAAAGGACGUGGUGGACGUGACGCCCAAGGUGAAGGCCAUGGCCCUGGCCGACCGCGCCAUGUUCGACAAAGGCAUGAGGGCCUUUGUGUCGUACGUCCAGGCUUACGCCAAACACGAAUGCAGCCUCAUCUUCAGAGUAAAAGAUCUGGAUUUU